CGCGCAGGCGGUUUUAUAAGUCAGAUGUGAAAUCCCGGGGCUCAACCCCGGAAGUGCAUUUGAAACUAUAAGACUUGAGUAUGGGAGAGGGAAGUGGAAUUCCUGGUGUAGAGGUGAAAUUCGUAGAUAUCAGGAGGAACACCGGUGGCGAAGGCGACUUCCUGGACCAAUACUGACGCUGAGGCGCGAAGGCGUGGGGAGCAAACA
RNAcentral lists this ribosomal RNA (207 nucleotides) under uncultured bacterium. RNAcentral's name for it is "partial 16S ribosomal RNA". It matches the Rfam family "Bacterial small subunit ribosomal RNA", at positions 568 to 774 of the family's 1533-position model. The record is from RNAcentral.